CGCUAAACUAAGGAGACUGUAUUUUGCGGUACAGCAGGAAAUGGAAAGAUAAAAGCCUCUCUUUGGAGAAAGACUGACAUGAACUUGGCUCACAGGCUUUAGCUAGGUUAGAGCUGUGAUAGGAAUGUCACCUUUCUACCCUAAUACUUAUCAUCAUUGUCCAACAAAUAUUUUCCUUCCAUCAUUCUAGUCUAAGGGUCAGUUUUAUCACCUCUGGCCAAAUUUACAUGAUACGUAACUAGGGUCUAGCGUUUAUCUUCAUUUACCCUCUGGUUAAAUUUGUAAUGCCGUUUUAAACAUAAUGACAAAAUGCUGCCAACUGUGGGUGCAUUCUGCAAGGUGCCACAUCGUGUCCAUCAUCAGUUGUUCCCCCACCAUCUUCGUCAAGUUUCGUGACACAUCGGGUCUUGUCGUAACAUUAUGGCAUUGGGCUAUUCAAUGGGGUAUUCCUGACUUCAGGCAUUUCGAAAGGGCAAUUUUUCAUUUGGGUCCCUCAGAAAUCUGAGAUGGCCCCUAAGAAAACAAAUUGCAGGCUAGAUGGCUGCUAAGACUUCAUGCGGAGUUUCAAACACUGGAUAUUUUGUUAUUUUUCCUUCUGCCAAGCGAAAUUUGACAAGAAGUUCAGGGUAACAAGAGGUGAUAGAUUGCUACUUUCUUAGUUAUCUCCUUGCAGCACAAAAUCAGUAGUUUGAUCACAGGUGAUAUAGUCGACCCUUAAUAUUCAAAUAUAUAGGAUGUCCACCACCAGUCACCUCUAAUUUUUCAUAAAUGAGUGGUGCUAUUAAAAUCCACAGAAAUUCACUAGCUCAAACACAUCAAAGAAGAACAUGUCCUAACACCUCAACACUUAUUAUAUCACUGAGUGCAUAGGAGUGACACAUGCCACUCGGCAAAAUAUUGUAGAUCCAGCUCAUAACUCUUAUAAUUCAUAAUUGAAUCGUACAUGUUGAAAACACGCCAUCUCUUUCUCUCUGUAAUAC
This is a non-coding RNA of Bemisia tabaci, 980 nucleotides long. Lineage: Eukaryota; Metazoa; Arthropoda; Insecta; Hemiptera; Aleyrodidae. The record is from RefSeq and is a predicted model, not a curated record.